GGUGGGUAUAACUCAGUUGGUUAGAGUGCCAGAUUGUGGAUCUGGAUGUCACGGGUUCAAAUCCCGUUACUCACC
Molecule: transfer RNA, 75 nt
Filed under: Moramonas marocensis
Lineage: Eukaryota; Jakobea; Jakobida; Moramonadidae
Description: tRNA-His
Rfam family: tRNA
About the family: Transfer RNA (tRNA) molecules are approximately 80 nucleotides in length. Their secondary structure includes four short double-helical elements and three loops (D, anti-codon, and T loops).
Source: RNAcentral